UUACCUUCAGCGGCAGCAGGUUCCUCCUCUCUGUGCUCUGCCAAAAGUGAGGUCAUUCUUUCAGCUUAGUCUCUACUUAUUUGGAUUGUAAAUGUGUGUUUAUUUUUAAUAUUUCAUAGAUUCCUGAAUAAUUGUUGAUUUACAAAUUCAAGAAUCCAUCAGAGCUCUCUUUCCAGACAGGGACUGCUUCACUCUUGUGAGACCAUUGAGCGAUGAAAAAGAGCUCCAGCGGCUUGACCGGAUAUCAAUGGAUAAAUUGAGGCCAGAGUUCAAGUCAGGACUGGAUGCGUUAACAAGGUUUGUCUUUGAGAGGACUAGACCCAAACAGGUAGGGGCCACAGUGAUGACUGGACCUAUUUUUGCUGGCAUUACCCAGUCCUUUUUGGAUGCUCUCAAUAAUGAUGCAGUGCCAACAAUAACUUCUUCAUGGCAGAGUGUUGAAGAAACAAAGUGCAAAAGGGCAGUAGAAUAUGCUACUGAAGUUUACAAGUCUUCUUUCGACAGUUCUAAGCCUGUUCUAAGCCCCCUGAAGAAGCGGCAAUACGAGAAGCACAUGAAGAAGCUGUUCAGAAGGCUUUGGCUGCCUUUAAUUCAAUUGCUGUUGGAGCUGGUUCUGUUAGGCAGAGAUGUGAAUAGCGUCUUCAUACUUUCUUGAAAAAAGAAUCUGAGACGAUUGCAAAAAGAUUGACUCUGCUGUUCUAAUUGAUGACAUAAAGGCUACUCGAUCGGUGGUAAUAAAAUGGUUGGUGGAAACAACAUAAGGAAGCCGACCUCUGUGCGGACUUCUUCAUCAGAAGUAAAAUUGGGAAGCUUACACUUGCAAGAUUAUUGAUGGCAUAUGAUGCCAUGAUGUCAAGCGAUAUUUCAAUUUCUCCAAUGACUCAUGUGGAUGAAGUUUUGCAACUAUAUUCUGAAUUGAUGAAGUUAGACCCCACACAUUACCAAUGCUACAAGGAUGAGUACAGCCUGGUUUUCUUAAAACAGGUGACUUCUUGCAAGGAGUCUUUGAUGAAGUACUGCUGACAGUAUAAAGAGUCGAAUUCUUCAGAUAUCACUGAUUCUAUGUGUUUAAGACUGAAUUCUCUAUCAUUAUUGCAAAUUGGAUCCUAUGAGCGGUGUAAGGACCUUCAAAAAUGUCUUUAGUAUACGCGUAUACGAAAACCCAGACCCUAAAACCCUAACCUACAUGAAAAAUCAAGAAAAUUUAGAUUUUUUGGGUUUUAGGCGGGCCGCGUAAGAGAUAACUUAAUCUCAACGCGGGCCGCUUCAACUUAAUAAAAAGACCGGAUGAGUUAGGAGUCCGGGCGGGCCGCGUACAAGAUGAAGGUAAGUUAGCGCGGGCCGCGACAACUCAUAAUUAUCCGGUAACACAUACGGGCCACGUUAUGGGCCACCUGUUAACCCUAGCCCAUGACUAAUCAGGCCUAUGCCUAGAUUAGGCGGCAAUGCGGGCCGCGUAAGGCCUAUGCGUGAUCCCACGCGGGCCGCGUCAGACCCAUUUUCAGGCUAUAAAUAGCCUAGCUCAGGAGCUUUCGUUUCGUGUCGUUCAAAAUUCGUUUCCAAACGAAGCUUUACUGUAAAAAGUGUAAUUUCAAUAUAGUAGCGAGGUGCUGCCGCAAUACCGGGUAAUAACUCGAUCGCUAUUACGAUUCGAUAUCCGAUCGAUUGAAAUUAUCCAACGAGUGUCUAAGUGCUGCUCAAUCUGGGUUUAUGCUUUGUUAUUCGUCGUGAUUCCAACAGGAUAUUUGAGCUAUGCUCUGU
Molecule: RNA transcript, 1761 nt
Organism: Helianthus annuus (common sunflower)
Lineage: Eukaryota; Viridiplantae; Streptophyta; Magnoliopsida; Asterales; Asteraceae
Exons: 7
Source: RefSeq, a predicted model, not a curated record